Molecule: ribosomal RNA, 532 nt
Filed under: uncultured Cryptophyta
Lineage: Eukaryota; Cryptophyceae
Description: SSU rRNA
Rfam family: Eukaryotic small subunit ribosomal RNA
Source: RNAcentral
CCGACUCGGGGAGGUAGUGACAAUAAAUAACAAUACAGGGCCUACGGUCUUGUUAUUGGAAUGAGAACAAUUUAAAUCCCUUACCGAGGAUCAAUUAGAGGGCAAGUCUGGUGCCAGCAGCCGCGGUAAUUCCAGCUCUAAUAGCGUAUAUUAAAGUUGUUGCAGUUAAAAAGCUCGUAGUCGGAUUUCGGGCUCGGGCAGGCUGUCGGCCUCGGUCGGACGGCAGGCUCGGGCCUUUCUGCCUGGGGACUCCGUCACACUUAACUGUGGGGCGGUUGGACGCAGGCCGUUUACUUUGAAAAAUUAGAGUGUUCAAAGCAGGCCUACGCUUGAAUACAUUAGCAUGGAAUAAUGGAAUAGGACUUUGGUGCUAUUUUGUUGGUUUAUGGGACCGAAGUAAUGAUUAACAGGGACAGUUGGGGCCGUUUAUAUUUCGUUGUCAGAGGUGAAAUUCUUGGAUUUACGAAAGAUAAACUUCUGCGAAAGCAUUCGGCAAGGAUGUUUUCAUUGAUCAAGAACGAAAGUUAGGGGA